Molecule: ribosomal RNA, 251 nt
Filed under: Salmonella enterica subsp. enterica serovar Tennessee
Lineage: Bacteria; Pseudomonadati; Pseudomonadota; Gammaproteobacteria; Enterobacterales; Enterobacteriaceae
Description: partial 16S ribosomal RNA
Rfam family: Bacterial small subunit ribosomal RNA
Source: RNAcentral
AGCGAAUCCUAGAAAAGCCGGUCUCAGUUCGGAUUGCAGGCUGCAACUCGCCUGCAUGAAGUCGGAAUUGCUAGUAAUCGCGGAUCAGCAUGCCGCGGUGAAUACGUUCCCGGGUCUUGUACACACCGCCCGUCACACCACGAGAGUUUACAACACCCGAAGUCGGUGAGGUAACCGCAAGGAGCCAGCCGCCGAAGGUGGGGUAGAUGAUUGGGGUGAAGUCGUAACAAGGUAGCCGUAUCGGAAGGUGC